RNAcentral lists this ribosomal RNA (301 nucleotides) under uncultured bacterium. RNAcentral describes it as "partial 16S ribosomal RNA". It matches the Rfam family "Bacterial small subunit ribosomal RNA", at positions 509 to 807 of the family's 1533-position model. The record is from RNAcentral.
CAGCAGCCACGGUAAUACGAAGGGGGCUAGCGUUGCUCGGAAUCACUGGGCGUAAAGGGUGCGUAGGCGGGUCUUUAAGUCAGAGGUGAAAUCCUGGAGCUCAACUCCAGAACUGCCUUUGAUACUGAGGAUCUUGAGUUCGGGAGAGGUGAGUGGAACUGCGAGUGUAGAGGUGAAAUUCGUAGAUAUUCGCAAGAACACCAGUGGCGAAGGCGGCUCACUGGCCCGAUACUGACGCUGAGGCACGAAAGCGUGGGGAGCAAACAGGAUUAGAUACCCCAGUAGUCCCUGUCUCUUAUAC